This 314-nucleotide ribosomal RNA is filed under the name uncultured bacterium. RNAcentral's name for it is "bacterial SSU rRNA". It matches the Rfam family "Bacterial small subunit ribosomal RNA", at positions 1190 to 1510 of the family's 1533-position model. The record is from RNAcentral.
UCAUCAUGCCCUUUAUGUCCUGGGCUACACACGUGCUACAAAGGUUGGUACAGAGGGAAGCUAUAUAGUGAUAUAAUGCAAAACUCCAAAGCCAAUCCCAGUUCGGAUUGUAGGCUGCAACUCGCCUACAUGAAGUCGGAGUUGCUAGUGAUCGCGGAUCAGAAUGUCGCGGUGAAUGCGUUCCCGGGUCUUGUACACACCGCCCGUCACACCAUGGGAGUUGAUAAUACCCGAAGCCUGUGACCUAAUUGAGGAGCAGUCGAAGGUAGGAUUGAUGACUGGGGUGAAGUCGUAACAAGGUAGCCGUAUCGGAA